Molecule: ribosomal RNA, 760 nt
Filed under: uncultured bacterium
Lineage: Bacteria
Description: bacterial SSU rRNA
Rfam family: Bacterial small subunit ribosomal RNA
Source: RNAcentral
AGAGUUUGAUCAUGGCUCAGGACGAACGCUGGCGGCGUGCUUAACACAUGCAAGUCGAGCGAACCUUCGGGUUAGCGGCGAACGGGUGAGUAACACGUGGGCAACCUGCCCCGAGCUCUGGGAUAACCCCGGGAAACCGGGGCUAAUACCGGAUACGACACCAACAGACAUCUGUUGGUGUGGAAAGUUUUUCGGCUCGGGAUGGGCCCGCGGCCUAUCAGCUUGUUGGUGGGGUAACGGCCUACCAAGGCGACGACGGGUAGCCGGCCUGAGAGGGCGACCGGCCACACUGGGACUGAGACACGGCCCAGACUCCUACGGGAGGCAGCAGUGGGGAAUAUUGCGCAAUGGGCGAAAGCCUGACGCAGCGACGCCGCGUGAGGGAUGAAGGCCUUCGGGUUGUAAACCUCUUUCAGCAGGGACGAAGCGAAAGUGACGGUACCUGCAGAAGAAGCACCGGCCAACUACGUGCCAGCAGCCGCGGUAAUACGUAGGGUGCAAGCGUUGUCCGGAAUUAUUGGGCGUAAAGAGCUCGUAGGCGGUCUGUCACGUCGGCUGUGAAAACUCGGGGCUCAACCCCGAGCCUGCAGUCGAUACGGGCAGACUAGAGUCCGGCAGGGGAGACUGGAAUUCCUGGUGUAGCGGUGAAAUGCGCAGAUAUCAGGAGGAACACCGGUGGCGAAGGCGGGUCUCUGGGCCGGAACUGACGCUGAGGAGCGAAAGCGUGGGGAGCGAACAGGAUUAGAUACCCUAGUAGUCC